This is a long non-coding RNA of Aphis gossypii (cotton aphid), 1583 nucleotides long. RefSeq lists it as uncharacterized. The record is from RefSeq and is a predicted model, not a curated record. The transcript has 5 exons. NCBI's taxonomy places the organism in Eukaryota, Metazoa, Arthropoda, Insecta, Hemiptera, Aphididae.
UCUUAAUAACACGGAAUCGGCUGAAUAACACGCAAUAAUAUUAACUCAUUUCUUGUACCCACUACAGCAGAUUUUUCACUCGAUCGUCUUAUCAUGGUAUCGUUUGACGUUUUGAACAACAACGCUGUUUGCUCCGGGCAUAGACAGGUGCACGAGAAGUCGAGAACCCACCCAUCUGGUCCUUAACAACCACUGCAGCGGCAGCAGCAGCAGAUGAAUAUAAGAUAACAUCCUCGUUUGUUUACAAUAUUCUCCGGAGCGAACUCGGAUUUCUCUGUACACACACUCACGAGAUAUUACAAUACCUGCGUCGAGUGUCUCUCUCCUAUAUAUAUAUAUAUUAUUAUCCAUUAAUAUAUAUAAUAGUACGCCUCUACAAAAUUGUUGGACGACAGCGUACGGUACGAUAGAUGCGACGGACACGGACUUAUAGUGCGUCUUACAAAACGGUUGAUGCUGUAUACACAAUACACCCCGUCCCAUCAGCGCCGCCGCCGCACAAAGGUGACUCGACGAAAAAAAAAAUGAAACGGCACGUUAAUAAUGGUCUUUCCGAGAAAAUAUCUGCGGUGUGUUUUAUCGCAUCAACUGUUACGAUAAUAAUUCGCACGAUGGCCGCCGAGUGGCCAUGCCUCGGUAAACUGCGACGACGACGACGUCUUAUGCGGCCCGCGAUGUCCGAUUUUUAUAUUAUACAAUUAUAGCGGUAUAGGUAGUAUUAAAUAGACGAGCGUGAAAAAUCGUUCGGUUUCUUAUGUUUUUGCCGGUCGAACGCCGCCUGUUUUUUUUUCAUUAGGGUCCAUAACUAAGUGGAAAAAAAAACCGAUAAAUAUAUUGGCUGGUACGUCCGGCGGUACAGAUUUAAAUUUGAAAAAUAAAUCGAUUUCGCUAUAGCCACUAUGAUGUCAGAGUAAAAAUUUAAUACCUAUUUUAUGUAUUAAUAGUGUAAUAUUACAAUAAGUACUAUAAUAAUCAAUGCAUAUAAAGAUUUUUCUUCAUACCAUGACUACGCUUUUCAGAUCAAAUCAUUUUCAACAAAUAUUCGGUUUUAGAAGAUACUUUGAAAUAAUAACUAAUAAAUUUACUUGAAUAGUAAAUAUAAUGCCUAUAAUAUUAUGUACAAAAGUUUUAUUUUCCGAGCUCAACUGAUAUUACAUAACUUUGAAUAAAAAAUUAUUUUUAGAAACCUGGGGAAGACGAUAAUAAACACGUUCAUAAAAUAUAUCAUUAUAUACCGUUAAACCUUAAACAAGACAUAAUAUUUUUAACAAUAAUUACAAUAGAAAUAGAAAAGGUUUUUAAAGCACGUCAAAAGUAUUUUAUGAGUAUUUUAAGAAACCAGUUGUUCUAUUUUAACUUGUGUCAUCAUCUUGGGCUGUUUUUCUAUCUGUUUAACGUUCACAAAACAUACCACAUAUCCACAACAACAGUUUUAUAUGUCGACAGAAUAUUAUUCAUGAUUUUAAAUUUGUACAGUCUAUAAUAUAGUGAUAGAAUGAUGUAUAGAGUCUGCAAUACACAUUACUAACUUUGGUAAGUAUAUGAAAAUCGAAAUCAUCAAUAAGCAACAAAAUCAGUUACAA